AGGAUUAUAAUUUAUAAUUAAAAUAUUUGAUUUGCAUUCAAAAAAUAUUGAGUAAUCAAUUUAUCUUA
Molecule: transfer RNA, 68 nt
Filed under: Polyura schreiber (blue nawab)
Lineage: Eukaryota; Metazoa; Arthropoda; Insecta; Lepidoptera; Nymphalidae
Description: tRNA-Ala
Source: RNAcentral